AGAGUUUGAUUCUGGCUCAGAUUGAACGCUGGCGGCAGGCUUAACACAUGCAAGUCGAGCGGAAACGAAGGUAGCUUGCUACCAGACGUCGAGCGGCGGACGGGUGAGUAAUGCUUAGGAAUCUACCGAGUAGUGGGGGAUAGCCAUUGGAAACGAUGAUUAAUACCGCAUAUAUCCUACGGGGGAAAGCAGGGGACCUUCGGGCCUUGCGCUAUUCGAUGAGCCUGAGUGAGAUUAGCUAGUUGGUGGGGUAAAGGCCUACCAAGGCGACGAUCUCUAGCUGGUCUGAGAGGAUGAUCAGCCACACUGGGACUGAGACACGGCCCAGACUCCUACGGGAGGCAGCAGUGGGGAAUAUUGCACAAUGGACGAAAGUCUGAUGCAGCCAUGCCGCGUGUGUGAAGAAGGCCUUCGGGUUGUAAAGCACUUUCAGCGAGGAGGAAAGGUCAGUAAGUAAUAUUUGCUGGCUGUGACGUUACUCGCAGAAGAAGCACCGGCUAAUUUAGUGCCAGCAGCCGCGGUAAUACUAAAGGUGCAAGCGUUAAUCGGAAUUACUGGGCGUAAAGCGCGCGUAGGUGGUUUGUUAAGUUGGGUGUGAAAGCCCAGGGCUCAACCUUGGAACUGCAUUCAAAACUGACUCACUAGAGUACGAGAGAGGUUAGUAGAAUUUCCUGUGUAGCGGUGAAAUGCGUAGAGAUGGGAAAGGAACACCAGUGGCGAACGCGACUGACUGGCUCGAUACUGACACUG
This 750-nucleotide ribosomal RNA is filed under the name uncultured bacterium. RNAcentral describes it as "bacterial SSU rRNA". It matches the Rfam family "Bacterial small subunit ribosomal RNA", at positions 8 to 748 of the family's 1533-position model. The record is from RNAcentral.